This is a long non-coding RNA of Arachis ipaensis, 2171 nucleotides long. RefSeq lists it as uncharacterized. The record is from RefSeq and is a predicted model, not a curated record. NCBI's taxonomy places the organism in Eukaryota, Viridiplantae, Streptophyta, Magnoliopsida, Fabales, Fabaceae.
GUUUAAUAUCUCAUAUAGUUAGUCUGUCAAAUAUUCUUAGUGUACAACUUUUUAACAUGAAAAGUAAUUAGAAAAAACUUACUGAUGGCUAUUAUUGUUGAUUUCAAGGUAGAUGAGGAAGCUAUGGACCUAAACAAGGAACUUAUAAACAAAUUACUUGAGCUUGAUGAUGCUGAUGCUGUUUAUACAGGUCAUAAAUAAUCAGUUUUAUAUCCGUGAAAGCUGUUCCGCAGCAGGUGAAAGUUUGUGAUUCAAAGGUAGUGAUGCUGCCUAUCAUUCACAAGUAAUUAUCAUGGGAGACCUAUAAACUUAUAACAUAAUAAUCUCACAUCGUGCUUACUUUUAUGGUUUGAUUUUUAGAAUAAUCUUACAAUAUUCAUUUGUUAACAAUUGUUGUAUCUGUGAGCGGGACACUAUUAGGGUUUCAUUAUUAGAAAUUCAUAAAACAUGGGUAAAGUUAUAAGGAACUUUAUUCAUAUUUUUAGGGCUGUUUUAGAAAUAUAUUAGCAUGUUACCAAUGAGAAGUUAUUCAUAAGGAAUCUUAUUUGAAUUGUUUCUACUUAUUACAAUGUUGUGCAAUUAGUUGGAGAUGAUCUCUUGAUGUCUAAUGCAAAACGCAUUGAGAGUGCAGUGCAAGAAUAUGCGUGUAAUGCUCUUUUUCUUAAGAAUAAAAUCCAAAAACAACCAAUUAAGCAGAAUCCAGAAGCUACUCUUUACUGUGAUAUACACCAUAAAGCUAUAGGAAGAAGUGAAAAACUCAAUGCUCAUGAAAGCAAUAAACAAACCAUUGCGGCUGCAAUGCUUUUCUCCAUUCAAACUUCAAUUUCGUGGUAAUGACUACUACCUCUGUUGAUAAGUUUAUUUUUUAAUUGAUUUUUUGUUAUUUUUUAAUUAAAAAUUCUGAGAAAGAAGUACAAGUAUGAAUUUUAUUGAGAAAAUCAGAUAGGUAGUAUGAUCUUUUGUAAAAUAAUUAUUUUGUCUUCAUAUAUUAAUAUGUUAUGACUUUGUUCAAGUUAAUUUUAUUGACAAAAAAAUUAUACUUUAUUUGCAAAUUGGUUUCUUGAAACUUAGCUUAUUACUCUUCAAAGCUUUUGCAUCUACUGUAGAGUAUUAAUAUUUUUUUUUUUUCAGUAUCUAUUAAAGUGUAUGCAAUUCUCACUUAAGCUUUUCCUGGAUUUUGACAUUCUUUUAAGUCUAACGCAUUUCUUUCGAUUAAAAUGUCAAUUGCUGACAUUUUUCUAUCAUUCAAUAAACUUGAAAAAUAUACUUUUAUACAUGUCAAAAGUUUUCUCUUCUUUUCUAAACAAAAGGUGCUCUCUUCAUUUGUGUGAUAGUAAUGUGUCUUUGUGAGGAAAUUCUAGCUCACAUAUGCUUUUUCUUUCUUUGAAUGCAUGAUAGUAAUGGUUUGAAUGCUCACAUAUGCUUUUUACUUUUCUUUCUUUCUUUACUUCUAUGGUGAGGUUUGUUAUUAUUUAUAUAUGUUGAGUUAUUUUUUAUUUUGUAAAUUUUUCUUUCAUAAAAGUUGCUUUGUUUAUUUAUUGACACCUUUCUCCAAUAAAAAUACUCCUAUUAGUACCUAUUCACUAUUGCAUAAUUCUGGCAUACGCUUGAAAUAAUGUGAAUUAAAGUUGACCUUAAUGUUUUAUUCAUUUGUUUGCUAGCUAUUUUCACUAGCUACAUUUCUAUGCUAGGGACCAAGAAUUGAGUAUUUUGAAAUUUUAUCUAUUUGCAAUUGUUUUAAUGCAAUUUUGUACUGAUUUGGUAAAAAAAAAAUACUUAGAUUUUGGAGGUUAUCUAUUUUCGUUUCAAAAUUGAGAAGUUAGUUUUUUCUUUUUAUUUUAAACUUAUUAUUCAUCCUCCAUGAUAUACACCAAAUAUUAAAAGACAGAAAAUAAAAGUAUUUUUAUGAAUAAGGAGAUAAAAAUAGAAGAGAUCUUUAAGAAUGUUCAUCAUAACAAAAGAACUUGGGAGAGAUUUAAAUUUAAAAAGAAAUGUACAUGAAGUAUGUUUGCUCGCAAGGGGUGGGUGAGUGGUGAAUAGAAGAUGAUUUUGAGGCUGUGUAGGAUCUUAAUGUAAUGGUCGAGUGGUUAUUGUAUAUGUAGUUUGUUUAGAAAAACUGAUGUAACAGUCUUUCAUUUUUUCUUUUAGUUUAUGUUAUCUUUUUGUAUCAA